This 113-nucleotide Y RNA is filed under the name Saimiri boliviensis boliviensis (Bolivian squirrel monkey). RNAcentral describes it as "Y RNA (ENSSBOG00000006058.1)". It matches the Rfam family "Y RNA". Rfam says of the family: Y RNAs are components of the Ro ribonucleoprotein particle (Ro RNP), in association with Ro60 and La proteins. The Y RNAs and Ro60 and La proteins are well conserved, but the function of the Ro RNP is not known. The record is from Rfam by way of RNAcentral. Lineage: Eukaryota; Metazoa; Chordata; Mammalia; Primates; Cebidae.
GGCUGGUCCGAAGGUAGUGAGUUACCUCAAUUGAUUAUUCACAGUCAGUUACAGAUCAAACUCCUUGUUCUACUCUUUCCCCUCUUCUCACUACUGUACUUGACUAGUUUUUU